This 486-nucleotide ribosomal RNA is filed under the name uncultured bacterium. RNAcentral's name for it is "partial 16S ribosomal RNA". It matches the Rfam family "Bacterial small subunit ribosomal RNA", at positions 30 to 507 of the family's 1533-position model. The record is from RNAcentral.
AUUGAACGCUGGCGGCAUGCCUUACACAUGCAAGUCGAACGGCAGCACGGGUGCUUGCACCUGGUGGCGAGUGGCGAACGGGUGAGUAAUACAUCGGAACAUGUCCUGUAGUGGGGGAUAGCCCGGCGAAAGCCGGAUUAAUACCGCAUACGAUCUACGGAUGAAAGCGGGGGACCUUCGGGCCUCGCGCUAUAGGGUUGGCCGAUGGCUGAUUAGCUAGUUGGUGGGGUAAAGGCCUACCAAGGCGACGAUCAGUAGCUGGUCUGAGAGGACGACCAGCCCCACCGGGACCUAGACCCCGCCCCAACCCCUACCGGAGGGCGGCGUGGGGAAUUUUUGACCAUGGGCCGAAGCCUGAUUCAGCAAUGCCGGGUGUGGGAAAAAGGCCUUCCGGUUGUAAAGCCCUUUUGUCCGGAAAGAAAUCCUUGGCCCUAAUACGGUCGGGGGAUGACGGUACCGGAAGAAUAAGCACCGGCUAACUACGUG